UUUGGACUUGCUGGAGUUACAAACGUCGAUGUUCGGAGCAAUGGAGCGCUAGAAAUCCACGCUGAUGUAGAUCAUCCUAUUUUGCGGGAUCUCCUAGAAUCCGGCGCUGUCAAAGCCGAACACCGCGUUGAACUCAUUCAUGUUCAUCACUCAAUCAAUGUCAAGUAGUCGAAAUUCGAUCCUCCCCCGAUCCUCUCGAUCUGUGGGUCAUAAGGUGGCCUUGAAACUGCUAAGGAACUCCAGAGUGGUGUCCUGGUAGGC
This 261-nucleotide unclassified non-coding RNA is filed under the name Hevea brasiliensis (rubber tree). Lineage: Eukaryota; Viridiplantae; Streptophyta; Magnoliopsida; Malpighiales; Euphorbiaceae. The record is from RNAcentral.